This 407-nucleotide ribosomal RNA is filed under the name uncultured bacterium. RNAcentral's name for it is "partial 16S ribosomal RNA". It matches the Rfam family "Bacterial small subunit ribosomal RNA", at positions 28 to 526 of the family's 1533-position model. The record is from RNAcentral.
GACGAACGCUGGCGGCGUGCCUAAUACAUGCAAGUAGGACGCAGUUGCGAACGUGUGAGUAACGCGUAGGUAACUACCUAUUAGAGGGGGAUAACUAUUGGAAACGAUAGCGAAUACCCCAUACUAGUAGAUGGACCUGCGUUGUAUUAGCUAGUAGGUAGGGUAAUGGCCUACCCAGGCAACGAUACAUAGCCGACCUGAGAGGGCAAUCCGUCAGACUGGGACUCUGACAAGGCCCAGAACCCUACGGGAGGCAGCGGUAGGGAAUUUUCGGGAAUGGGGGGAACCCUGAACGAGGAACGCCCGGUGAGUGCAGAAGGUUUUCGGAUCGCAAAGGUCUGUUGAUAAGGAGGCGGUACUUAACCAGAAAGGGCCGGCUAACUACGUGCCAGCCGCCGCUGUAUUAC